CCUACGGGAGGCUGCAGUGAGGAAUAUUGGUCAAUGGGCUUACGCCUGAACCAGCCAAGUCGCGUGAGGGAAGACUGCCCUAUGGGUUGUAAACCUCUUUUGUCAGGGAGCAAAUGGCGCUACGUGUAGCGUUAUCGAGAGUACCUGCAGAAAAAGCAUCGGCUAACUCCGUGCCAGCAGCCGCGGUAAUACGGAGGAUGCCAGCGUUAUCUGGAUUUAGUGGGUUAAAGGGGUGCGUAGGCGGAAUGCCAAGUCAGCGGUAAAAUCGCGGGGCUCAACCGCGCUCCGCCGUUGAAACUGGCGUACUAGAGUGAGCGAGAAGUAUGCGGAAUGCGUGGUGUAGCGGUGAAAUGCGUAGAUAUCGCGCAGAACAC
RNAcentral lists this ribosomal RNA (374 nucleotides) under uncultured bacterium. RNAcentral describes it as "partial 16S ribosomal RNA". It matches the Rfam family "Bacterial small subunit ribosomal RNA", at positions 338 to 709 of the family's 1533-position model. The record is from RNAcentral.